UUGCAGGGUAUAGACCCGAAACCCGGUGAUCUAGCCAUGGGCAGGUUGAAGGUUGGGUAACACUAACUGGAGGACCGAACCGACUAAUGUUGAAAAAUUAGCGGAUGACCUGUGGCUGGGGGUGAAAGGCCAAUCAAACCGGGAGAUAGCUGGUUCUCCCCGAAAGCUAUUUAGGUAGCGCCUCGUGAAUUCAUCUCCGGGGGUAGAGCACUGUUUCGGCUAGGGGGCCAUCCCGGCUUACCAACCCGAUGCAAACUGCGAAUACCGGAGAAUGUUAUCACGGGAGACACACGGCGGGUGCUAACGUCCGUCGUGAAGAGGGAAACAACCCAGACCGCCAGCUAAGGUCCCAAAGUCAUGGUUAAGUGGGAAACGAUGUGGGAAGGCCCAGACAGCCAGGAUGUUGGCUUAGAAGCAGCCAUCAUUUAAAGAAAGCGUAAUAGCUCACUGGUCGAGUCGGCCUGCGCGGAAGAUGUAACGGGGCUAAACCAUGCACCGAAGCUGCGGCAGCGACACUGUGUGUUGUUGGGUAGGGGAGCGUUCUGUAAGCCU
RNAcentral lists this ribosomal RNA (552 nucleotides) under Salmonella enterica subsp. enterica serovar Stanley. RNAcentral describes it as "partial 23S ribosomal RNA". It matches the Rfam family "Bacterial large subunit ribosomal RNA", at positions 700 to 1250 of the family's 2925-position model. The record is from RNAcentral. Lineage: Bacteria; Pseudomonadati; Pseudomonadota; Gammaproteobacteria; Enterobacterales; Enterobacteriaceae.